RNAcentral lists this ribosomal RNA (414 nucleotides) under Triticum aestivum (bread wheat). Its description in RNAcentral is "partial small subunit ribosomal RNA". Lineage: Eukaryota; Viridiplantae; Streptophyta; Magnoliopsida; Poales; Poaceae. The record is from RNAcentral.
AUGGAGGAGUGUUCUUAUGCAUAUUAUAUCCAUUGUUUUGCUCAUCAAUUACAUCUAGCUCUUGUUGCUACAUCAAAAGAAGUAGCCGAUGUUCACAACUUUUUUGAUCAUCUUGCUCUUGUUAUCAAUACGAUUAUGGCUUCUAGUAAGAGACAUGAUGAGUUGCAAGCAAAUCAAGUUGCUGAAAUGGAGCAUUUGAUUGAGCUCGGUGAGCUUGAAACUGGAAGUGGGGCUAAUCAAGUCGGAACUUUACAACGGCCUUGUGAUACUAGAUGGAGUUCACACUAUGCUUCUGUUUGCAGCCUUGUGAAAUUGUACAAACCAACAUUUUGGUACUUAAAAGCAUUACAACUACUAAAGGAUCUGAUACUUCACCUUCCGCAUGAGCAAAGGCUUCUGGUGCUGUCAAGUUGA